AUAUUUACCUUGCAAAAAAGACACCAUGAUGGCAAAGGUCGUUUUCCCAGGUUGAGGUUAUCCAUGGCACUCCACAUGGUGCUGAUAUUGUGAUUCCACCCAAAAAGGAAAGAUAUUCAGCUGCAUAAUUUGUGGUAAGAGAAGGCUGUGUUAGCACUUUCCCCUC
Jaculus jaculus (lesser Egyptian jerboa) is the source of this 166-nucleotide small nuclear RNA. Its record names the gene U1. It matches the Rfam family "U1 spliceosomal RNA". From Rfam's summary of the family: U1 is a small nuclear RNA (snRNA) component of the spliceosome (involved in pre-mRNA splicing). Its 5' end forms complementary base pairs with the 5' splice junction, thus defining the 5' donor site of an intron. There are significant differences in sequence and secondary structure between metazoan and yeast U1 snRNAs, the latter being much longer (568 nucleotides as compared to 164 nucleotides in human). The record is from Ensembl. Lineage: Eukaryota; Metazoa; Chordata; Mammalia; Rodentia; Dipodidae.